GACGAACGCUGGCGGCGUGCUUAACACAUGCAAGUCGAACGGAAAGGCCCUGCUUUUGUGGGGUGCUCGAGUGGCGAACGGGUGAGUAACACGUGAGUAACCUGCCCUUGACUUUGGGAUAACUUCAGGAAACUGGGGCUAAUACCGGAUAGGAGCUCCUGCUGCAUGGUGGGGUUUGGAAGGUUUCGGCGGUUGGGGAUGGACUCGCGGCUUAUCAGCUUGUUGGUGGGGUAGUGGCUUACCAAGGCUUUGACGGGUAGCCGGCCUGAGAGGGUGACCGGCCACAUUGGGACUGAGAUACGGCCCAGACUCCUACGGGAGGCAGCAGUGGGGAAUAUUGCACAAUGGGCGGAAGCCUGAUGCAGCAACGCCGCGUGCGGGAUGACGGCCUUCGGGUUGUAAACCGCUUUCGCCUGUGACGAAGCGUGAGUGACGGUAAUGGGUAAAGAAGCACCGGCUAACUACGUG
This 468-nucleotide ribosomal RNA is filed under the name uncultured bacterium. RNAcentral's name for it is "partial 16S ribosomal RNA". It matches the Rfam family "Bacterial small subunit ribosomal RNA", at positions 28 to 507 of the family's 1533-position model. The record is from RNAcentral.